AGCGAACGCUGGCGGCGUGCUUAACACAUGCAAGUCGAACGUGAAAGUAGCAAUACGAGUAAAGUGGCGCACGGGUGAGUAACACGUAGGCAAUCUACCUUAGAAUCUGGAAUAACAGGCCGAAAGGCUUGCUAAUACUGGAUAGAUCAAAAACUCUUGUAAAGGGAGAAUUGGGAAAGGGAGGCCGCAAGGUCCCUCGUUUUAAGAUGAGCCUGCGUCCCAUUAGCUAGUUGGUAGGGUAACGGCCUACCAAGGCGAUGAUGGGUAGCUGGUCUGAGAGGAUGAUCAGCCACACUGGAACUGAAACACGGUCCAGACUCCUACGGGAGGCAGCAGUGGGGAAUUUUGCGCAAUGGACGAAAGUCUGACGCAGCAACGCCGCGUGAGUGAAGAAGGCCUUCGGGUUGGUAA
This 411-nucleotide ribosomal RNA is filed under the name uncultured bacterium. Its description in RNAcentral is "bacterial SSU rRNA". It matches the Rfam family "Bacterial small subunit ribosomal RNA", at positions 29 to 429 of the family's 1533-position model. The record is from RNAcentral.